This 22-nucleotide microRNA is filed under the name Aedes aegypti (yellow fever mosquito). Its description in RNAcentral is "aae-miR-1175-5p". The record is from miRBase by way of RNAcentral. Lineage: Eukaryota; Metazoa; Arthropoda; Insecta; Diptera; Culicidae. RNAcentral also lists the same sequence under 1 other name.
AAGUGGAGUAGUGGUCUCAUCG